Long non-coding RNA from Hyla sarda, 500 nucleotides. RefSeq lists it as uncharacterized. The transcript has 3 exons. The record is from RefSeq and is a predicted model, not a curated record. NCBI's taxonomy places the organism in Eukaryota, Metazoa, Chordata, Amphibia, Anura, Hylidae.
CAAGCUUUGAUAAAUACUCCAUUGUCAUUUUCUUAGCUAAAACACAAAAAGGAACGGUCAUAUAAGCCAAUGAAUCCAGGAUCGGCUAGUGGAAGUGCAGGUGUAGCGCGAAGCAGUGCUUUACAGAGACCCCCUUCCUCCUCAACCUGCCUGCUGACCUUCUGUAUAGGCACCGUAUCCUGCAAUAAAGUGACCCCUGGAUGGGGGUGAAACUGAUCCAGAGUGUUCUGGACCUCAGACUGGGCGGAAGGUCCACCUUCCAACAAGACAAUGAUCCUAAGCGCACAGCCAAGACAAUAAAGGAGUGGCCUCUGUGAAUGUCUUUAAAUGCCACAGCCAGAACCCUGAAAGAUCUCCAGAGUGACCUAAUAAUGGCUUCCACUGACAGUACCCAUCCAACCUGAAUCCAGGUGUGCAAACCGUAUGGCAGCAUCUCUAAGAAGACUGUAGGCUGUAAUCGCUGUCAAAGGUGCCUCAACUAUGUACUGAGUGAGGGGUCU